GAUGAACGCUGGCGGCGUGCCUAAUACAUGCAAGUCGAGCGAACAGAUGAGGAGCUUGCUCCUCUGACGUUAGCGGCGGACGGGUGAGUAACACGUGGAUAACCUACCUAUAAGACUGGGAUAACUACGGGAAACCGGAGCUAAUACCGGAUAAUAUAUUGAACCGCAUGGUUCAAUAGUGAAAGACGGUUUUGCUGUCACUUAUAGAUGGAUCCGCGCCGCAUUAGCUAGUUGGUAAGGUAACGGCUUACCAAGGCAACGAUGCGUAGCCGACCUGAGAGGGUGAUCGGCCACACUGGAACUGAGACACGGUCCAGACUCCUACGGGAGGCAGCAGUAGGGAAUCUUCCGCAAUGGGCGAAAGCCUGACGGAGCAACGCCGCGUGAGUGAUGAAGGUCUUCGGUUCGUAAAACUCUGUUAUUAGGGAAGAACAAAUGUGUAAGUAACUAUGCACGUCUUGACGGUACCUAAUCAGAAAGCCACGGCUAACUACGUG
Molecule: ribosomal RNA, 497 nt
Filed under: uncultured bacterium
Lineage: Bacteria
Description: partial 16S ribosomal RNA
Rfam family: Bacterial small subunit ribosomal RNA
Source: RNAcentral